GAUGAACGCUGGCGGCGUGCCUAAUACAUGCAAGUCGAGCGAACAGACGAGGAGCUUACUCCUCUGACGUUAGCGGCGGACGGGUGUGUAACACGUGGAAAACCUACCUAUAAGACUGGUAUAACUUCGGGACACCGGAGCUAAUACCGGAUAACAUGUUGCACCGCAUUGUUCAACAGUGAAAGACGGUCUUUCUGUCUCUUAUAGAUGGAUCCGGGUCGCAUUAGCUAGUUGGAAGGGCAACGGCUUACCAAGGCAACGAUGUGUAGCCGAUCUGACAGGUUGAUCGUCGAGAUUAGCACGGAGACACGGUCCAGGCUCCGACGGUAGGCGUCAGUGGGGAAUGUUCCGCAAUGGGCGAAAGCCUGGCGGGGCAACGGCACGUGAGUGAAGAAGGUCUUCGGAUCGUAAAACUCUGUUAUGAGGUGAGAACAAAUGUGUAAGUAACUAUGCACGUCUUGACGGUACCUAAUCAGAAAGCCACGGCUAACUACGUG
Molecule: ribosomal RNA, 497 nt
Filed under: uncultured bacterium
Lineage: Bacteria
Description: partial 16S ribosomal RNA
Rfam family: Bacterial small subunit ribosomal RNA
Source: RNAcentral